GAUGAACGCUGGCGGCGUGCCUAAUACAUGCAAGUCGAGCGAACUGAUUAGAAGCUUGCUUCUAUGACGUUAGCGGCGGACGGGUGAGUAACACGUGGGCAACCUGCCUGUAAGACUGGGAUAACUUCGGGAAACCGAAGCUAAUACCGGAUAGGAUCUUCUCCUUCAUGGGAGACGAUUGAAAGAUGGUUUCUGCUAUCACUUACAGAUGGGCCCGCGGUGCAUUAGCUAGUUGGUGAGGUAACGGCUACCCAAGGCAACGAUGCAUAGCCGACCUGAGAGGGUGAUCGGCCACACUGGGACUGAGACACGGCCCAGACUCCUACGGGAGGCAGCAGUAGGGAAUCUUCCGCAAUGGACGAAAGUCUGACGGAGCAACGCCGCGUGAGUGAUGAAGGCUUUCGGGUCGUAAAACUCUGUUGUUAGGGAAGAACAAGUACAAGAGUAACUGCUUGUACCUUGACGGUACCUAACCAGAAAGCCACGGCUAACUACGUGCCAGCCGCCGCAGUAA
Molecule: ribosomal RNA, 514 nt
Filed under: uncultured bacterium
Lineage: Bacteria
Description: partial 16S ribosomal RNA
Rfam family: Bacterial small subunit ribosomal RNA
Source: RNAcentral